CGCUAUAAUUUUCUGGGGCAACGUAAUAUUUUUGUCACCUAAGCUUCGUCACCACAGGUCCUAUUAAGGCGACAAAAUUCUUUUUGUCGCAAAUUAUUUAUGUAGCGACGAAAACGUUAACACUUAAGCGACGAAUAAGUUUGUCGCAUUACAUCCUUAACCUAAUCGACAAAUUUACAUUUCGUCGCUUUAGUUUUAGUCUAAAGCGAUAGAACUUUUGGCUCUUGAGCGACGAAAUUGUUUGUCGCAUUAUAUCCUUAACCUAACCGAAAAAUUUACAUUUUGUCGCUUUAGUUUUAGUCUAAAGCGACGGAACUUUUGGCUCUUGAGCGACGAAAUUGUUUGUCGCAUUAUAUCCUUCACCUAACCGACGAAUUGACUUUCGUCGUUUGAAUUUAAGACUAAAGCGACGGAACUUUAGUUUGGAGCGACGAACGUGUUUGUCGCAUAAUAUCAUUAACCUAAGCGACGGAACUUUUUGACUUUAGCGACGAAAUAUUUCGUCGCUUAAGUGAAAUCUUCUUUAUAUCCUCUGCAUCAGUUCCAGAUCAAAAAACUGGAGGAAAACAGAUCGAGCUACAGUGAAAAAAAAAUCUGCAGAUUAUCAAGUUUUAAAGUUGCAAAUGGAUCAAAUCAUAGGUUAUAUACAAGUGUACAUAUUUGUGAACUAACUAUAUAUAGAAAGCAAUAUUUUUAAAAAUCUUGUGAAAUAGGAUGUGAUCGGUACAGUAAAAUACGGCUAUGGUUGAAAAAUCACAUAUUUCCAGUAAAGUUUGGUCCUAGAUAGAUGCAGUCAACCCUCUUUACCCUUAUACUUCCCUAUGGGGAGCCUUAUCGUCCGGAGGUGAACAUUCCUAAAUUUGUACAUGGGUGGUUAGAUCUCAUCAAUGUGAGAGUUUUAUAUGUGGAAGAAUCAACCAAACUAGGUUAUAUAAUGGUAGGUAAGAGCGUUUUCAUGUAAUAAGUGGCGUUGGUUUAGGUUUGACCAUGUGGAUCGAGACCCAAACUUUAACGAAAACAGGUGAAUUUUUUUCUAUAGCCGUAUUUAAGUAUAUCGAUAAUAUCAUAUAAUUAAAUUUUCAUUUUGUACUUCUUUUAUUUUUCAACUUCGAGCUUCAAUAUGUUUAGUUCACAUACCACUUUAGUCGACAAUAUUUUUUGCUAUUUAAAAAAAAAAGUUCAAAGCAAUAAAGC
Molecule: long non-coding RNA, 1194 nt
Filed under: Fragaria vesca (wild strawberry)
Lineage: Eukaryota; Viridiplantae; Streptophyta; Magnoliopsida; Rosales; Rosaceae
Description: long non-coding RNA (FVES_LNC004768)
Source: RNAcentral